RNAcentral lists this ribosomal RNA (465 nucleotides) under Vreelandella stevensii. RNAcentral's name for it is "partial 16S ribosomal RNA". It matches the Rfam family "Bacterial small subunit ribosomal RNA", at positions 338 to 795 of the family's 1533-position model. Lineage: Bacteria; Pseudomonadati; Pseudomonadota; Gammaproteobacteria; Oceanospirillales; Halomonadaceae. The record is from RNAcentral.
CCUACGGGGGGCUGCAGUGGGGAAUAUUGGACAAUGGGGGCAACCCUGAUCCAGCCAUGCCGCGUGUGUGAAGAAGGCCCUCGGGUUGUAAAGCACUUUCAGUGAGGAAGAACGCCUGGUGGUUAAUACCCAUCAGGAAAGACAUCACUUACAGAAGAAGCACCGGCUAACUCCGUGCCAGCAGCCGCGGUAAUACGGAGGGUGCGAGCGUUAAUCGGAAUUACUGGGCGUAAAGCGCGCGUAGGUGGCUUGAUAAGCCGGUUGUGAAAGCCCCGGGCUCAACCUGGGAACGGCAUCCGGAACUGUCAAGCUAGAGUGCAGGAGAGGAAGGUAGAAUUCCCGGUGUAGCGGUGAAAUGCGUAGAGAUCGGGAGGAAGACCAGUGGCGAAGGCGGCCUUCUGGACUGACACUGACACUGAGGUGCGAAAGCGUGGGUAGCAAACAGGAUUAGAUACCCUGGUAGUC